CUGUGAUUAUUGUUCCCAACGGGCUGGGCGCCCACUACCCCCAAACCCGUUUUCUAGUUCCGGGAUUUUUAUUUUAACCCAA
Molecule: unclassified non-coding RNA, 82 nt
Filed under: Pichia sp. SCN-2006a
Lineage: Eukaryota; Fungi; Ascomycota; Pichiomycetes; Pichiales; Pichiaceae
Description: ITS1
Source: RNAcentral